ACAUUUUUUUUAGAUUUUAUAAAAAGUAUAGUCUGCCCACUGUGUAAUAUGAAGGGCCGCGGUAUUUUGACCGUGCAAAGGUACCAUAAUCAUAAGUCCUUUAAUUGGGGAAUGGUAUGAAUGGCUAAAUGAUUUUUAUCUUUAAUUUUUAUUAUUUUAAAAUUUUGAUUUAAAGUGAAAAUACUUAAAUGAUUUAAUAAGACGAUAAGACCCUAUAGAAUUUUAAUUUAUUCUUUAUAAAAAUAUAGAAUUUAAGUUUAAAUGGGGCAUUUUUUGAAUAUUAAUAAUUUCUUAAAAUAUUUAUUAUUAUCAUCUUAUAUUAAAGAUUAUUAAAAAAUUACCUUCGGGAUUACAGCGUUAUUAUUUUUGAGAGUUCAUAUCGACAAAAUAUAUUGCGACCUCGAUGUUGAAUUAUAAUACCUUUAUGGAGCAGAAUUUAUAUAAGGUAGUCGGUUCGACUAUAAUAUUUUUACGUGAUUUGAGG
This 484-nucleotide ribosomal RNA is filed under the name Tomocerus minor. RNAcentral's name for it is "partial large subunit ribosomal RNA". The stretch from base 348 to 484 matches the Rfam family "Archaeal large subunit ribosomal RNA", at positions 2542 to 2679 of the family's 2987-position model. The record is from RNAcentral. Lineage: Eukaryota; Metazoa; Arthropoda; Collembola; Entomobryomorpha; Tomoceridae.